Small nucleolar RNA from Lycium ferocissimum, 107 nucleotides. NCBI's taxonomy places the organism in Eukaryota, Viridiplantae, Streptophyta, Magnoliopsida, Solanales, Solanaceae. The record is from RefSeq and is a predicted model, not a curated record.
AAACCAUGAUUCAAAGAGUGCAUCAAGUACUACUUGAACCUCUCCCAAGCUUCAUACAAUUAUUUCACCAGAAGUUGCUUGAACUCAAAAAUAUUAUCUCGGAGUUC